GGUGGCUGCGCUGACAUUAUGCAACAGCUGACAGUGGCUUUUCUUUGAUGAAUUUGGACUGAUUAUGUUACUGGAUUAGAUCGUCUGGACCUUUGGCAAUGUACCAACACCGUUUUUGUUGGAAUGUUAUCGAUCUGUGGAUUAAUGUGAUGGUUUUUCUACUUCUGGUCUGACUGAGACGUUGAUUGUACCGGCUGUGGUGAUCGGAUCUAGAAAUGGUUUACAUCAGUUGAAUCAAAAGAGUCUUAGCUUUCUAAGGAUAUGUUGCAUCAGUACCUAGCUGUACGACGCAGUUCUGUAAAUAACAAUGUUUGACGCUGAUCAGUAAAACAGCCCACUGGACGGCACCCGCGGGGGGUGUUUGCGAUGAGGUUAAGUCCAAAUUAUUUUUACCCAGUCUAUGUAAACAGAUGUGUUAGUGUAUGCCUUUUUUUGUAAAUUGGUGCAAGUGAGGGGGCUGGUGUGGGGGAGUAGGGUAGGAGUAGCUGGGGGAAUCAAUACUUUCUGGGCAGCUCUAUUAUGGAACAGGAUUUUACCCAUUUGGAAAGAAAAAACUAAUCAGAGUGGUUAGUGUUAAUAAUGUGGCAGCAACAAGGAAUGACGUAUUUGUAUAGACAUUGUGAAAUGAAAAACUACUUUUGAUUAUUGUGAGCUGUAUGGUCACACGAAGCACUGCCAAAUUUCCUCAACAAUACUUAUUACAUAUCACAGCUAAAGUCAAACAAACAAACAAAGUGGAAGCUCAUGCAGUGUUUUUUAAAGUACGCAAAGAUGCUUUAAUUGGAUGUGUGGAGCUUUCAUGUAUCCUCCUCUCACUGCUUUUUAAAGUUUGCAUGCGUGAUUUGUAAGAAAGAUGUGAUCGAUGUACAUGUUGAGCAGGGUUCAGUCAUCUAGGAAUGGAAACAGCCCAAACCCUCAUCAGAAAAUAGUUUGGUUCCGGGCAAUCGUUUGUUUUAAUUUUUUUAAUUAUUAUCAUCACAUCACUACAUGCCCAUGUCAAAUGACCUAAGAUGACAGAAAUGUAUUUACAAUAUAUAUAAAUUAUCCCAAACCGGAAGUUCCAAUUGAUUAUUCAUGGUAAACCAUUUAAUAGUAAGUAGACCAUGAAGGCCAUCUCUUUUGAAACAGGUUUAAGUUCCACUUCAGUCUAAGAUAUUACACUUCUGUUUACAUAUUUUCUGGGGCCAAUUUCAUGUAUCUGUUUAAGUGCUGAUAUCCGCAUGGAUCCUUAAAAAGUAUUUUUCAUGGUCAUUUUGAAUUUUUUCUUUCAUUUUGCCUUGCAGCACACGUUCAGAUGGAGGACCCCUUCUGGAAUAGUAUUGAUUUCCUCCACAAUUUUUUUUCCAGAAGCUUGUAGCAGUUUGAUGAUUUUUUUUAUUUAAUUUGCUUUCUGUGUUGGAGCUAUAGGUUAGGCUGAGUGGUUAAGAUAAGAUUAUCGUAGCCACAGGAUUGAUAAUUAUGUGCACGAUUUAUUAGGUGUUAAAUCAAUGUUUAAUCAUUACAAUCUCUAAAUCAACCAGAAAAUAGUAAAUUAACAAAUAUAACAGUAUCAAAUAUCCUUAACAAGCACUUUGGGAAUAGAAGCGAACAGAAGCAUCCUGCACAUGCAAUGAACACAGCAAACAGGUAAAUAUGCAAUUACUUUUCUUAAUUAACGCACACAGGUAAACCACAAGAAGAAACACAAUAGCAACUAACUGAAUUUUGGAUUCGGAGAAUCAUUACAGCUAUGCUAUUAGGUCAUCAUUUCACAGUAUCUCUUAAUUCUGAUCCAGAUAUAUUUCUACUUUGUUUAUUGUCUGUUUUUUGUGUCCCCCGUUGACUUUCUGUUCAGAAGGUUAUAUUUAGACACAACACAUUUAUCCUACUGCUUUAUUAACCUCAACCUAAUUUAAGAAUAAUCAUUUAAUCAAGUGGGUAUUAAUGGCACUCGAGCUGCAUGGUAAGAUAUGCUUCAUUUUGGGGAGGGCAAGUUCCGUGUACUUCUCAUUCCAGAAAAAAAAUGCUUGCCUCAUGGAGCUCAGCGUAAGUUCAGUAAGGAAGACUUAAAACCCCAUUCAGAUCAGCUGACUGUGGGCGGUCCUAAAUAUCGGGAAUGCCCAUGGGAGGGCUUAACCUGUAUGCGUCAGCUGAUCGUAGGUGUUCCCAAUCAUCUAAUCAGGCCCGCGCUGUUUCCUUCAGCCAGUCACACAGCAGCUGUCAAACUUUAAAAAUCCCUUCUCUUCUCUUCCUCAGCAGUGUCAAUGCAGUGACUCGCACAACCCCUCCUCCACCCCAAUCUCCUCCAGUGACUUAGUCCUGGCACAGGACUAAGUCAUCCUAAUUGAUUGAUUGAUUAUUUAUUUAAGCCUCGGAAAUCACAUUGAGGAAUAAGACCCUAAUUUACAAUGGUGUCGAGGGUACAAUAAAGAGUAAAACAUGAGAAAUAAAUAAAUAAGAAUAAAAUAAAUAAAUAUGCAUAUAUACAUACAGCAAUAGAAAGUAAAAGGUCACAAAUCAACCCUGACAAUUCAAUAAAUACUAUAAAAUACUAUGGUUAAGCUUAACCCAACUAAAAGUUACAAUCACUGCAGGAGAAGCCAGCCCUACAUGAAGCGCUGGUGCCUUAUUUCACACAAGAGCUUGUGAAGGAGCUCAAAAACAGUCCUUACAACCUUGUUACAAAUGGGUCAAAUGACACAGGAGUGCAAAAGAUGAACCUGCUUACUAGCCGGGUCUUCGUGGGAAGCAAAGUUGUCGUGUACAACAAAUGGGAAGACAUGUGAGACAGUAAGCGAGAUCUUCGCAAGAUUAACUCCACCCUAGAGGAGCAUGGUAUCUCAUUGCUCUCUCAGUUGACAAUGCAGCUGUGAACAUUGGACCAAGCCAUUCCAUCGCCUCUAGGGUGCUCCAGAAACACCCAAACACCUAUAUUCUUGGUUGUUCUUGUCACGUGGCACAUAACACCGCAAAAGCUGCAGGAGAGGGAUUUUUUUAAGUGUUUCGGUUUUGAUUUGGAGGACAUGGUAGUGGACAUCGGUUACUCGUUCAAAGUGUUAUUAUGAAAAUCAGGCCAGAUUCAAGAGGCUUGUGCAGGCAUUUACUGACCCCAUGACAGAAGUCUACCUGCUGUUCUACCAACCCACCGUACCAACCUUACCUGAUUUCAACUUGCUUCUCCAGAGAGAGCAGUCAGCAAUAUAUUUGUUACAUGAUGGGGUGGGUUUGAACCUAGCUGUUUUUUCCAUUCUGUGUUUCUUGCUGAUAUCUGCAGGGAUCUAAUAUUUGUGAAUGUCUGUCAUGGAUGGUGAAAUUCGUACGCAACCUAUGUUCCAAAUGUAUGGUUCCAGCAGCUCUGCAAUGCCAUGAGGAGCCUUGAGAAUUGCCUAUAAAGAGAAGGCAAACCAUUUGCUAUGUUAGUGUUUGACUAUUACUAUGAUCAGGGCAGAGCGUGGCCUAGGGGAUAGAGUGGGUGUUCUGCAACAAGAAGGUUGCCGGUUCGAACCCACUCUUUCCCAUCUGCAUGCCUUAGUGUCCUUGGCAAGAUACUGAACCCCUAAAAUGGCCCCUCAUAAAUGCUGAGUGUUCUAAAAAUGUAAGUAGCUUUGGACAAAAGCGUCAGCUAAAUGACAUGUAAUGUAAUGUAAUCAGGAGAGGCGGUGGUCUAGUGGCAGAAAAUUGGACUAUGGGCAGAGAAGGUCUCUGGUCUGCUCUGGUUCGACUCCUCGGAGAGACAACAAAAGACCAACCUGGAUUGAUCUGUCCAAAAAUCCAAGAGUCUCCCUACCCUGUCUACUGCCCCUGAGCAAGGCACCUUACUGCCCCAACAUCUGCUCCCCGAGCACCGUACAUGGUGGCUCACUGCUCUCUGUGUCCUACACCGGAUGGGUUAAAAGCAGAGAUUAAAUUUCCCUACCUGCAUGAGUGUGCCUUUGCAUUUCUGUGCAUGUGUUUGGGACUAAUAAAUGCAUCUUAAUCAUACACUUUGAUAUGUGAUAAAUAAAAUAUGAUAUUUAGCCUUGUACCUAGUUUUUUGCCACUGCAUGAGUAGAAACCUAAGGUUUGUGGUAGUCCUUCCAACAGUGGGCGUCUGGUUGGAUUUCUUGCCCUAUGUGUCAAGCUGAUAUUGCUGCAUCAGUAUGUUAAACCAUUUAUGUUAACCUGAUAUACUCUAUCUGUACAGGGAAAAAGUUGAACAUUGAGUUCACAAUCAGGGCUAAACUUAACAGAUAUCUUGAUGAGGCUGACAUCACGGCAGGUGGAUUCAUUCCAUGAAGCUGUGUUGAGUUUACUAACAAGUGCUGUGGGCUAUGCACUUAUGAAGCUGCCAUUGGUCAAACACGCAAAUUUGCGGAUGUGCGGCAGAGGGCUGAAAGUGGCAUUGAAGACGUCCUGUACUUUGUUGAAAGGUUUCCCCAUCUCCUCCCAUAACAUGGGCCAGACGAGCAUGACCACCUGGGUGAGGACUUUCUGAAUUAUCAGACCAUGCCAACAACCUCCCUUCAGGACGAAACUGAGAUGAAAAGCAUCUGGGCUGGAAUGGCAACAGGGAAACAUAAGGUGACAGGAGCCAAAGAAUUUGAGGGGGUUGUUGCCAUCGGCAAGCUGGUGCUGGUGUUGACCCAUUCGAAUACAGACGCUGAGAGGGUGUUUUAAGUUGUGGGACUUGUCAUAUAUGGUAGUUUAAUGCGCUUGCGCAUAUACUAUGGGUUAUACGGUAGUUGCGGACACAUGUCAUUGAUGUAUGUUAGUGAGCCAAGUUGUGAGACACGGUGAUGCAUUAAAGCGAGCUGAGCUACUAAGAAGCCUCUUUAGCGUUGAUUUACAGGACUGAACAAAACUAAGACCAGAAAUAGCCUGGCAUUGGUUGGCAGCCUCUCGUCAAUAAUGGCCUUAAAGAUGGCCGACCUGGAGCCCUGUUUUCGAUGGGAGCCCCCCUCAGAGUUCAUCAAGGCCUCCAAGAAGGCCACAGGCCAGUACAACCUUGCCCACAAAUCUUAUAAAAUGUCUAACUAGCUUCGGAUCUGCAUCUGAUACCUCAUUUUUUGUUAUUUUUGUCACUUUAUGAUCCAUUGUAUUGCUUAAAAAGGCUAUUCUUUAAGCACUAUAUUUGUUGCAAAUUUUUGUUUGAUGGAAAGUGUGGUGGGAGGCUUUGAAUAAUGAAAAAUAUUUCCCCCA
This is a long non-coding RNA of Platichthys flesus (European flounder), 5157 nucleotides long. RefSeq lists it as uncharacterized. The record is from RefSeq and is a predicted model, not a curated record. Lineage: Eukaryota; Metazoa; Chordata; Actinopteri; Pleuronectiformes; Pleuronectidae. The transcript is spliced from 6 exons.